GAGAGGCCACAUUUCUACAAAAAAGGAAAAAAACGUUAGCUGGGGAUGAUGGUUCAUUUCUGUUGUCUCAGUUACAUGGAAGGCUGAGGUGAGAAGAUUGCUUGGGCCCAGGAGGUCAAGGCUACAGUGAACCAUGAUCAGUCACACCACUGCACGCCAGCCUGGGUGGCAAAGAGAGACCCGGUCCCCCCACAGCUGAGAAAAGUAUCAUCAGAGAGAAAGAAAGGCAGGAAUUUUCCAGAUAAAAGGAGACAAAAGAGACUAAAUAAAUGUGAUGAGGGUCAAAGGAGACGAGAUGAAAAGACUGCAUGUUAUUCUAGAAACUGCCCCAAAUCUUCCAUGGAUGCUUCUACUACGGCACCAUUCAAAAUAAUUUUCGUGUGUAAUUUAAGAUUUUCAAAAAUAAAUAUAUAUUUAAAGCAAUCAUAUAUCACAGGCAAAUCUCUCAAAGAAAUGUAUGUAAGCUUUGUUAUUUUAAAAUAACACAUGCAUAGACAUUAAUAGAAUUUAAUUCUAGUAAAUGCUUUUUUCUACUUCUGCUUUAAGAAACCAAUUUCUUGUUGAAAUAGUGUCUCAGCCCCUAACUAUACGAUACUUGUUGCAUCAAUUUCAACUUGUUAAUUUGAAAAUGUGUAGUUAUUCCUGGAACAUUUCAUACCACCAACUUUCCUGAAUAUAAAUUCAGGAAAUAGAACCUAACCAUGGUGAAUGAAGAAAGCAAGUCACUCUCCACUUCUAACAAUAAAAUCAUUGGUUAAUUAGCAAAAUUAUAAAUCUUGGUUUUGAUAUUAAGAUAUAAUACAUUUCCUCCUUUUGUUCGAUGUUGGAUUAUAGAAAACUUAGAAUGAUUCUUCCUUGAUUAAUCCCAAGAGCUUGACUUGAGAAGAGGCAAACUCCAUUUAGUUGUGCAAACCCUGGGAAUAAGGAUACACUGACUGAUAAAGAAGGCAAAAUCCCAGCCACCUCUGUUUGCACACGAGGAAGGAAUCCCUCAGUGAGGUCUGCUCACAUGGCACUGGACUGCCCUCGCAAUUAGAGCACCAUACUUUCCUGGGCACAUGGUGUCUGCAUUGUUCAUGUCCUCUGAAGCGUUGCACAGUGUUUAGUGGGGUACUUAGCACACAGCAGGCACGCCGUGUUGCCAGUGGCCAGCAUUUCCACACUUCCAAUACUGAUGGACAAAAUCUUACUCAGUCUAGAUAUUUGUAUCAGUCAACACUGAAUUAUCUUUGCUUAAAUAUCUACUGGAAGAUUUUCUGGAUUAUCUUGAUAAGCUUUGCCAUUUGGAGCAAAGCACUAAGACUUCAGUUUUCUCGUUUAUAAAAUGAGGGAGGCAUACAAAAUGAUUUCUGAGCACUCUCCUGUAUUGAAGUG
Molecule: long non-coding RNA, 1374 nt
Filed under: Callithrix jacchus (white-tufted-ear marmoset)
Lineage: Eukaryota; Metazoa; Chordata; Mammalia; Primates; Cebidae
Description: lncRNA (ENSCJAG00000069763.1)
Source: RNAcentral